This 293-nucleotide small RNA is filed under the name Pogona vitticeps (central bearded dragon). Its description in RNAcentral is "7SK RNA (ENSPVIG00000020287.1)". The stretch from base 1 to 191 matches the Rfam family "7SK RNA". From Rfam's summary of the family: 7SK was discovered as an abundant small nuclear RNA in the mid-70s but a possible function has only recently been suggested. Two independent studies have found that 7SK RNA binds the CDK9/cyclin T complex (known as elongation factor P-TEFb). P-TEFb activates transcription by phosphorylating the C-terminal domain of RNA polymerase II. The record is from RNAcentral. Lineage: Eukaryota; Metazoa; Chordata; Lepidosauria; Squamata; Agamidae.
AGGUGUGGGGAUGAUCUGGCUGUGACGUCCAUCACCCCAUUGAUCUCAAGGGUUGGUCCAACUGAUCUGACUGGCUAGGCAGGUGUCCCCUUCCUCCCUCAACCUCCUUGUGCAAACCUCCCAGUGCUCAGUGGAAGAGGACAACCACCCCACAUGAAAGAAGUGUACCAUUCUCCAGUCAAGAGUUCAGACAAAAAACCCACCACGGAUAUGCCAUCCCCUUUACUAUCUGUAAAGGUGUUUCCUGAUUAUCUUAACACACAAACAGGCUCAUAAAGGGAGAGGUGCUGCUU